RNAcentral lists this long non-coding RNA (284 nucleotides) under Marmota monax (woodchuck). The record is from RNAcentral. Lineage: Eukaryota; Metazoa; Chordata; Mammalia; Rodentia; Sciuridae.
GCUGAGUCAACGCCUGGGAAGACACCGGACUUCCGUUUCGAUCCAGCCGGGCUGCGCCAUUGUUUGCGUGGGCCUAGGGUUUUGGACCCUCCGGGUGUUCCUUCAGAGGCUCCGUAAGUGGCGCCGACUCUCGAGAGGGCCGAGCCAGAUGUGGACCAGGGCUGGAAGUGCUGUGGCUGAAGGAAGAGUGGCAGAAAAGUAGAGUUGGGGCGAAAAGCGACUCCGACUUAGAAACAUUGGCGACACCCCGGUAUAGGUGGGUUACUCCUAGCUCCUCUCGCCUA